CAGCCGCCGCGGGAAAACGAAGGGGGCUAGCGUUGCUCGGAAUCACUGGGCGUAAAGGGUGCGUAGGCGGGUCUUUAAGUCAGGGGUGAAAUCCUGGAGCUCAACUCCAGAACUGCCUUUGAUACUGAAGAUCUUGAGUUCGGGAGAGGUGAGUGGAACUGCGAGUGUAGAGGUGAAAUUCGUAGAUAUUCGCAAGAACACCAGUGGCGAAGGCGGCUCACUGGCCCGAUACUGACGCUGAGGCACGAAAGCGUGGGGAGCAAACAGGAUUAGAUACCCGUGUAGUCCCUGUCUCUUAUAC
This 301-nucleotide ribosomal RNA is filed under the name uncultured bacterium. RNAcentral's name for it is "partial 16S ribosomal RNA". It matches the Rfam family "Bacterial small subunit ribosomal RNA", at positions 509 to 807 of the family's 1533-position model. The record is from RNAcentral.